RNAcentral lists this transfer RNA (77 nucleotides) under Clostridium sp. Its description in RNAcentral is "tRNA-Val". It matches the Rfam family "tRNA". Rfam says of the family: Transfer RNA (tRNA) molecules are approximately 80 nucleotides in length. Their secondary structure includes four short double-helical elements and three loops (D, anti-codon, and T loops). RNAcentral also lists the same sequence under 4 other names. The record is from RNAcentral. Lineage: Bacteria; Bacillati; Bacillota; Clostridia; Eubacteriales; Clostridiaceae.
GGACGCAUAGCUCAGCUGGUUAGAGCGUUCGCCUCACACGCGAGAGGUCGUGGGUUCGAGUCCCUCUGCGUCCACCA